CCCUUAGAUGUUCUGGGCCGCACGCGCGCUACAAUGAUGAAUUCAACGAGUUUAUAACCUUGGUUGAAAAGCCUGGGUAAUCUUUUGAACUUUCGUCGUGAUGGGGCUAGACCCUUGCAAUUAUUGGUCUCCAACGAGGAAUUCCUAGUAAACGCAAGUCAUCAGCUUGCAUUGAUUACGUCCCUGCCCUUUGUACACACCGCCCGUCGCACCUACCGAUUGGAUGGUCCGGUGAAAUCUUCGGAUUGAGACUUUGAUUUCUUCACGGAAAACGCUGUUUUAAAAAGUUGAUUAAACCUUACCAUUUAGAGGAAGGUGAAGUCGUAACA
RNAcentral lists this ribosomal RNA (329 nucleotides) under uncultured eukaryote. RNAcentral describes it as "partial 18S ribosomal RNA". It matches the Rfam family "Eukaryotic small subunit ribosomal RNA", at positions 1470 to 1796 of the family's 1831-position model. The record is from RNAcentral.